Molecule: ribosomal RNA, 405 nt
Filed under: uncultured bacterium
Lineage: Bacteria
Description: bacterial SSU rRNA
Rfam family: Bacterial small subunit ribosomal RNA
Source: RNAcentral
GGGAAUAUUGUGCAAUGGAGGCAACUCUGACCCAGCAACGCCGCGUGAAUGAAGAAGGCCUUCGGGUUGUAAAGUUCUUUAAUGGGGGACGAAGAAAGUGACGGUACCCCAAGAAUAAGCCACGGCUAACUACGUGCCAGCAGCCGCGGUAAUACGUAGGUGGCAAGCGUUGUCCGGAAUGACUGGGCGUAAAGGGAGCGUAGGCGGCGCGGUAAGUUAGGAGUGAAAUCCCGGGGCUCAACCCCGGAACUGCUUUUAAAACUGCCGUGCUUGAGUGAUGGAGAGGAAAGCGGAAUUCCUAGUGUAGCGGUGGAAUGCGUAGAUAUUAGGAGGAACACCAGAGGCGAAGGCGGCUUUCUGGACAUUAACUGACGCUGAGGCUCGAAAGCGUGGGGAGCAAACAGG